AAUUUGCAUGAGGGAUUGAAACGGCAUCCCCGAUUUAGAAAAACAAGGCUUUUUUUGCCGUAGUUUUUGUUAAUUGGGAAUACAGUGGAAAGCCCGACCCUUG
This 103-nucleotide small RNA is filed under the name Flavobacterium aquicola. Its description in RNAcentral is "Flavo-1 RNA". The record is from RNAcentral. Lineage: Bacteria; Pseudomonadati; Bacteroidota; Flavobacteriia; Flavobacteriales; Flavobacteriaceae.